GUCCCAGUGCCUCAGUGGUUAAGGCAUUUGUCCUGAACACAAGCUGAGUCCUGUGGCCUGGGUUGGAUCCCAGCUGUGGCA
This is a non-coding RNA of Megalops atlanticus (tarpon), 81 nucleotides long. NCBI's taxonomy places the organism in Eukaryota, Metazoa, Chordata, Actinopteri, Elopiformes, Megalopidae. The record is from the annotation of a GenBank genome assembly.